Molecule: ribosomal RNA, 119 nt
Filed under: Triticum aestivum (bread wheat)
Lineage: Eukaryota; Viridiplantae; Streptophyta; Magnoliopsida; Poales; Poaceae
Source: RNAcentral
GGAUGCGAUCAUACCAGCACUAAAGCAUCGGAUCCCAUCAGAACUCUGAAGUUAAGCGUGCUUGGGCGAGAGUAGUACUAGGAUGGGUGACCUCCUGGGAAGUCCUCAUGUUGCAUUCC